This 241-nucleotide ribosomal RNA is filed under the name Pseudomonas duriflava. Lineage: Bacteria; Pseudomonadati; Pseudomonadota; Gammaproteobacteria; Pseudomonadales; Pseudomonadaceae. The record is from RNAcentral.
CACCCAAACAAUCUGUAAAGAUUGCCUACGGGAAGACGCCUAAAGCCGAAAGCUUGCGAACCCGCAAUUACCUGAUCACAUACCCAUUCGAGGAAGCGAGUAACAGCGAUUCCUCACCCGAAUUGCUUGACGACUAUAGAGCUCUGGAACCACCUGAUCCCAUUCCGAACUCAGAAGUGAAACAAAGCAUCGCCGAUGGUAGUGUGGGGCCUCCCCAUGUGAGAGUAGGUCAUCGUCAAGC